GAUGAACGCUAGCGGGAGGCCUAAUACAUGCAAGUCGAACGGUAACAGGGUAGCAAUACCGCUGACGAGUGGCGCACGGGUGAGUAACGCGUACACAACCUGCCUUAUACUGGAGCAUAGCCUUGGGAAACUAAGAUUAAUUCUCCAUAACAUUAUGAAACGGCAUCGUUUAUAAUUAAAUUCCGAUGGUAUAAGAUGGGUGUGCGUCUGAUUAGCUAGUUGGUGAGGUAAAGGCUCACCAAGGCAACGAUCAGUAACUGGUCUGAGAGGAUGAUCAGUCACACGGGCACUGAGACACGGGCCCGACUCCUACGGGAGGCAGCAGUAGGGAAUAUUGGACAA
This 342-nucleotide ribosomal RNA is filed under the name uncultured bacterium. RNAcentral's name for it is "bacterial SSU rRNA". It matches the Rfam family "Bacterial small subunit ribosomal RNA", at positions 28 to 371 of the family's 1533-position model. The record is from RNAcentral.